GAGAGAGGAAAAAUAAAGGCAAUUAAAUGGUGGAACAAUCUAUUAGAUCGUUUACAUAAGAGCCAGCAAGUCAAGCGUAGUCACCAGAGGAACACAUUUGAGUUUAACAAGUUGGUCUGGAAAUCACCACAGGGUACAUGCUCAGCUUUGAAGAUUUCUGACUGUAGCAACACAGAUCCAAGAAACUCAAGAGCUAAGAUGUGCAGUGCAAAGUUGCACAAAACCGAACAGCCACGACUAGUCAAAAUUUAAUGUGAACCCCAUUUUUUUAUGAAGUCCUAGACAGCCACAAACAUAAUAAUUGCUCUCUACAAUUUCAAGGUGUUACUGUUACUGGAGAGUAAAUGUUCAUCCUUCCAGGAAACUAUCUUUUUAUGUACAUUUGAUUGUGUAGGAGUGGAAAAUUACGUACAGUAUAGAAAAUUGUUCCUCUGGCAGAUGAGUAAAGUGGAAAGAAUCAAAUCAAACUAUAUUCACUUAUUGGCUCUGUGAGCUCUGGCAAGUUACUUAUUUUCUGAGCCAAAAAUGGCAAUGAAAUUAUAAAGAAUGCAUGUGUAAAAUGGCUAUGUGUAGAGAGAGCAGUGGCCACCUGUAAAGACAGAGUGUGUGUAAAGCGGCAUUGGUCAUCGAAUGCAGGGCAUAAUCACUGCCACUGCUUUUUACUCGUAUCUACAAUAGUCAUAACAGCUAUUGUUUAUUAAAAGUCAACUGUAUAUCCAGCUGUGUUAGGUGGUACGAGAAAUACAAGGAAAAGUAAAAAUGAUAAAAGCUGCCCUCAAGGAUCUUACAGUGCAGAAUCAUUUAUUAAGAGAGAGAGAAAGUAGACCAGAAUUCAGAGGAAGGCAAGGCUGCUUUCAGGUUCAGGAAAUACACAGCGGGGGGACACUGAAGAGUAGCAGAGUAUGCUGUCCCCAAAUUUGCAUAAGGAUUAUUUUCAGCGAAAGACAACUGAAAAGGAGGAGAUACCUCCCCUUAUUUGCCUAAAAGCAAGACAUAAAUUUAUAAAGGUGCCUCCUCUUUCCUCUAUACUGGGGACAGUUAUCAGAUGGAGACUGGAGAUGAUACCAGAGAAAUCCAAAUAGACUACUAACCAGCCCUUAUCUUCCAUUCCCCCCGCACCCCCAUAUAUUUGCCAUCCCACAAUGUGCCACUCUAGAAACUCAGCCCUUUUCCUUUGUCUUGUCACUUUUCUAAAAAUGCAUUGUUCUUUUGUUAAGAAGCUUAUAUAAGCCCACCCCCUUUGAAUUACUCAUCGCAGAGGAUUCCCAUGUGUAUGCAUGACGCAUGUGUUAAUAAACUUCUGAUUGUUUUUCUCUUGUUAAUCUGUAUGUCGUCAGUCUAGUUACAGGGCCCUAGCCCAUGAGCCUAAGAUGAGUGGAGGGAAAACAGUUUUUCCUCCCCUUCAAUACCCUCCUCAGUGGAGGCCAACAUCAAACUCAGGGAGAAGUUUUAGGGUCCCAGGCGCUGAAAUCACCCUGGCUCCAGCCAGAAUGCUCUUGCCUAGGCCUGUUUGGUUGCUGGUGGUAGGUUCUCUUGUUCCAAGGAUGAUGAGAAGGGCAGUUGGCCCAGAGAGGCCGUGAUCUCUCUGGCCAAGCCCUAGACAAAGGGGCAGUGGAGGGAGGUUAAGGACAGAAAUGGGAACGAGGUAUGGGACGUUGGUUCUUUCGAUGCUGCCGGUUAUACCUUGGCUCUACCAGAAUUUUUUAGGCUAUUUUACAGGUUAAAGUGCAGUAGGAAGAGGCUAACCGUGGGCAUGAGAUACAAACUUGGGCUAUAUUUGUUUGGCCCCUACAGACUCUUAAAAGUUUGGUGUUGUAAGAAAUAGUUACACUAAAUUCUUCUUAUCUUUUGCAGGGAUCCUGUGAGCACCACCUGUGAGCAUCACUAUGUGGUUCAGGUACAACUAAGACUGCGAGGACGAUGGUCCAGGAAGCUGGGCAGUUCUUCUAUUGGUGAGACUAUUACUUGAGGGGAAAAUGAUCGGAUCUGGAUAAACUGCGAACAGCAAAAGAUCAAAAGAGAGAAGAAGGGACCCAAGGUAGGGAAGAUGCUUAUCAAGAGUGAGUGACGGUCUUUUCAGAAGGCAAGGUAAGAGGGCCAGAAAGUUAACCCUCCUCACUAAGUCAGUGUUUGCCUUUCUUUCCAUUAACCUCCCUGGG
Vicugna pacos (alpaca) is the source of this 2159-nucleotide non-coding RNA. NCBI's taxonomy places the organism in Eukaryota, Metazoa, Chordata, Mammalia, Artiodactyla, Camelidae. The record is from RefSeq and is a predicted model, not a curated record.